GUCCCGCGGUGCAUUAGCUAGUUGGUAAGGUAAUGGCUUACCAAGGCGAUGAUGCAUAGCCGAGUUGAGAGACUGAUCGGCCACAAUGGGACUGAGACACGGCCCAUACUCCUACGGGAGGCAGCAGUAGGGAAUCUUCCACAAUGGGCGAAAGCCUGAUGGAGCAACGCCGCGUGUGUGAUGAAGGGUUUCGGCUCGUAAAACACUGUUGUAAGAGAAGAAUGACAUUGAGAGUAACUGUUCAAUGUGUGACGGUAUCUUACCAGAAAGGAACGGCUAAAUACGUGCCAGCAGCCGCGGUAAUACGUAUGUUCCAAGCGUUAUCCGGAUUUAUUGGGCGUAAAGCGAGCGCAGACGGUUAUUUAAGUCUGAAGUGAAAGCCCUCAGCUCAACUGAGGAAUUGCUUU
RNAcentral lists this ribosomal RNA (407 nucleotides) under Weissella confusa. RNAcentral's name for it is "bacterial SSU rRNA". It matches the Rfam family "Bacterial small subunit ribosomal RNA", at positions 228 to 627 of the family's 1533-position model. The record is from RNAcentral. Lineage: Bacteria; Bacillati; Bacillota; Bacilli; Lactobacillales; Lactobacillaceae.